UUUACCUGCCCAGCUGGUCAGAGCACCAGGGUGAGCAAGUUUGAGGGUUCAAACUCUGGGGAGACCCAAGUCACAGUGGGGUCCCUCACCUACCUAGAGAAGGCAAAAGUAACAACAGACAGAAGUCAUGUGAGUGAGAAGUUGCAGGCCCUGCUCCUUGUCUCAGUCCGGGAAUCCCAAGAGUAUGGCUUCCCUUGAAGAGAUGUCCCAGGACUCUGAACCUGCAUCUGAAGCCUUAAUCUCAACCCUCCUCCCUGUCACGACCACCUCGACCUGCAAGGAAGACGCGACUCAGGAAUCCUUCUCAUCAGCGGUUUAUUCAGGAACCUUGAAACAACGUAGAGGCAGCCACGGGAAAAACCCCUCCUGCUCCCUAAAUAGCCGAGGCCAGCCAACCCUGAGCAGCCACGUGUGUGCAAGCCAUAGGCUCAU
Long non-coding RNA from Mesocricetus auratus (golden hamster), 432 nucleotides. RefSeq lists it as uncharacterized. The transcript has 3 exons. Lineage: Eukaryota; Metazoa; Chordata; Mammalia; Rodentia; Cricetidae. The record is from RefSeq and is a predicted model, not a curated record.